This is a long non-coding RNA of Triticum aestivum (bread wheat), 1350 nucleotides long. RefSeq lists it as uncharacterized. The transcript is spliced from 3 exons. Lineage: Eukaryota; Viridiplantae; Streptophyta; Magnoliopsida; Poales; Poaceae. The record is from RefSeq and is a predicted model, not a curated record.
UCCAUCCUCUCCUCUCCCUCAACACCAAACCGCCCUCGCCGCCGAUCUCCACUCCCCCAAACUCAGCCCCAGCCCCGCCGGCGACCUCCUCCCCCACUCCUCGACUUCCCUGGCAACAUCCUCUACUUCAUACCCGCCGGCGACCUCCGCCUUCCACUCCACCCUCUCCUUCUCUCCACGCCGAAACCCUAGAUGAACGCCAUGGCCACCUCCCUCUAGCGUCCCCUCUCUCUCCCGUGGCGGCAAUCACCACUUCAACACCGUCGGCGACCACAACCAUGGCCUCCACCUCCCCUUCCCUCCUUGGUUGGAGAUCCACUCAAUUCCUCUCCCUCCCCCAGUUCCUCUCCAAUCCCGCCACUGGCCGACUACCAACCCCACCGGCGACCUCCCUCCCUCCCUCCUGAGAUGUACAGAUGUGGCGAGACGGAUCGCCGGAUCCCCGCCGCGGCGGAACGGUGAGAUCCAGCUCCUUGCCGAUCCCAUGGCCUCCGCGGCGGCGCGAGUCCUCCUCCUUGUUCGCGCGGUCGCCUCCUUCCUCGCGGGGCGCACAGACGCCCUUCGGUCGCUGGGCGUCGGCGACGAGGCGGGGGCCGGGGCCGCCACGCAGGGGGACGACGCCGUGGACCUCAACCCCACCAGCUUGGACGCCUUCCUCACGGCCUCGCGGGAGCAGUUCGCCUUCAUCAAGUUCUUCGCCCACUGGUAAUAGAGGCUGACCAGGUACUCCAUCGACAUCUCUAGCUCCCACAUGUCGCCCUGGGCUGUAGCGCCCUCUCGUGGGCGAUCGGCAUCCUCCUGGUGGCCCCGCUCCAAUUAGUAUAGUGCUGCUAUAGUGUCGAGACAGCAUGCUAUUCAAAACUAUGAUAAUAUGUCAUGCACUGUAUCCUAAAUUUAUAUCUCCACAAUCAUGUGAAAAUAAAUAAACAUUGCUAUCUAUUUAAAAGUUAAUUCUGUUGGGCAGGGAGGAGCAAUGCUUGCAGCUAGGUAUCAAUUUCAUACUUGUCAGUAAAGCUGCUGCCACUUGUAAGGCACAUGCAUGCUGGGUGUCUUGCCGCAGUUGCAGCCAUGCUAAUCUUUUCCUAUCAGAGGACAAGGGCUUCAUGGCCAAUCAAGGCGCAUGGUGCUCGCAAGCGAUGAAAGGAGGUUGUUCGACAUAGGCACGGAGGAGGAGGAUGGGCACGGACGGAGGAGGACAGAGCACCUCUCUUCUUCCAGGUUCUUCUCCUUACCUUCACUUCUUGUAUGUGCCUGUGCUGCAGCUCACCCAUGGUCUUGUUUGUCCUGCAGGUUAGUGAGCAGCAUCAGGAGGAGGAGCUCAAGCACGACCACCAAGAGGCACCACCGCAG